This 69-nucleotide transfer RNA is filed under the name Gymnorhamphichthys sp. NM-2010. Its description in RNAcentral is "tRNA-Met". It matches the Rfam family "tRNA". From Rfam's summary of the family: Transfer RNA (tRNA) molecules are approximately 80 nucleotides in length. The record is from RNAcentral. Lineage: Eukaryota; Metazoa; Chordata; Actinopteri; Gymnotiformes; Rhamphichthyidae.
AGUGUGGUAAGCUAAACAAGCUCUUGGACCCAUACCCCAAUAAUGCAGGUUAAACCCCUGCCCGUACUA